UGGAGAGUUUGAUCCUGGCUCAGGACGAACGCUGGCGGCGAUGCUUAACACAUGCAAGUCGAACGGAAAGGUCUCUUCGGAGAUACUCGAGUGGCGAACGGGUGAGUAACACGUGGGCAAUCUGCCCUGCACUUCGGGAUAAGCCUGGGAAACUGGGUCUAAUACCGGAUAGGACCACUUGGCGCAUGCCUUGUGGUGGAAAGCUUUUGCGGUGUGGGAUGGGCCCGCGGCCUAUCAGCUAGUUGGUGGGGUGAUGGCCUACCAAGGCGACGACGGGUAGCCGGCCUGAGAGGGUGUCCGGCCACACUGGGACUGAGAUACGGCCCAGACUCCUACGGGAGGCAGCAGUGGGGAAUAUUGCACAAUGGGCGCAAGCCUGAUGCAGCGACGCCGCGUGGGGGAUGACGGCCUUCGGGUUGUAAACCUCUUUCAGCAGGGACGAAGCGACAAGUGACGGUACCUGCAGAAGAAGCACCGGCCAACUACGUGCCAGCAGCCGCGGUA
This 504-nucleotide ribosomal RNA is filed under the name Mycobacterium sp. N1728C. Its description in RNAcentral is "bacterial SSU rRNA". It matches the Rfam family "Bacterial small subunit ribosomal RNA", at positions 1 to 522 of the family's 1533-position model. The record is from RNAcentral. Lineage: Bacteria; Bacillati; Actinomycetota; Actinomycetes; Mycobacteriales; Mycobacteriaceae.